Poecilia reticulata (guppy) is the source of this 5182-nucleotide long non-coding RNA. RefSeq lists it as uncharacterized. NCBI's taxonomy places the organism in Eukaryota, Metazoa, Chordata, Actinopteri, Cyprinodontiformes, Poeciliidae. The record is from RefSeq and is a predicted model, not a curated record.
UGUAUUUUUUGACAUAUUUACAUUUUAAAAUUAUUAGUAGACUGCUUGGUAAAUAAAGUGAUGGCAUUAUUACUUCAUUGCAAUAAAGUCUGCCGUUCAAAAUCCAAACUAAAUAGUUUUAACCCACAAACUUGUCUAUUUGACAAAAUUAAGACGUAUUCAUUUGAAACAUAAUUAGUAAGAUCAAAUUAAAGUAAAACUGUUUAAAAUAUUAUAUAAUAAUUUCAUUUUAUCAUGUAACAGCCGGUUAUAUUCCAAAUACUUCUGUUGUUUGUGCAUUUCAGAAAUUAGCUUGGAUGACAACGUAGAGGUUUAUUUUUGUUAGUUUUAUUAUUUAAAAUACAUCUAUAAAACUAAAACAGGAAAUCCUUAGCAUCUUGCUUUAAAAUGAGCAUUGAUAAAAUGUACUUUUAUAUGCAACACCAAUAGAUUCAGUUAUUCUAGCUGGUUUUUGUCGUUUGGUAACACUUUAUUUUGAAGGCAGAAAGUCUAAUUUCCGGUUUUGCUCUGAUUCUGUCUUGUAACAUCUUUUUUCAAUCUUUUACAGCUGGUUCCCGCUUCCUGAAGCAUAAAUUACUUUUAUUCUGUUUCAGUUUAAUUUCAAAUAUUAGAUUAACACAACCAAUGUUUAAAAAUCCAAAACAGAAAUAUAUUUUCUUGUCAAAACACACUGUAGGCAUGGAAAAGAUGUUAGUUUAGCCACAAUAAAACCACUAAUCAGUGAUGCUGAGUGCAUAAAAUGGCUUCAGUUUGCAAGAAAGUGUGGAAAAAGUCAUGCGGUCCAGAUUUACCCUCUUCCACACUGAUGGGCACAUCAGGAUUAGAAGAAAGGCUGAUAGUGUAGCUGCCUGUGGGGUCAACGCUAUGACCUGAGGUUUCUACAGCUGGUCAGGUCAAAGUUCAACAACAUCAUGAGGUCAGCAGGCUACCUGAAAGUGUUAAACGACUUCAUUUAUUUCAUUAAUUUCAUAAAUAGAUUGUUUCUUCACUGAUGACAUGGAGAUAUUCCAAGAUGCAGGCUCCUUUUUGACCUGGCCAGGUAUUUCCUGCCAGGUCUUUCAGGAAGAAAACAUAACCAAAAUAAACAUUGGGAAACGUUGUUGCUGCUCUGUGAGUUGCAUCAGAGUACACAUUGAUGAAUGAAUAUUACACAGUGGAGCAACACAGAAUCUACAGCGAAACAUAAACAGGUUAAUUAUGAUAAACAGCAGAAAACUAGCUUGUCUUUUCUCAAGCUAACAAUUAAGGAAACGUAGAGCAACACCAGAGAUGUUUGCUCUCUUGGUUGCUGAUUCUCCAGCUUAAUGUAACUUUAAAACUUUUAUUCAGAAAAAAGAUCCAUCAAAUAUUCAGGUUCUGCAAUUUAAUGUUCUGGAGUUCUUCAGGGCCCGACUCUCGGCUCUCUUUGAUAUCCAUUGCUUUGUGGUUGACACAAUAACAUGUUUCAGGCUGAUUCUUGUCUCAUUCAGUUCAAGUCUUAAUUGUGAUUUUAAUCAUGAAUCUUUCAAUAGCUCCCUGGUUGAGCGAGUUUACUAAGUGGAGUUCCUCAGGGCGGUAAUCUCGGCUCUCUGUUAUAUUUCAGUGUUUGGUAUGUUCUACUCCUGUCAGUUAAAGUCUUAAUUAUGAUUUUGAUUGUUAAACUUUAACUCAACACAUACAAAAAAGACGAGACAUUCAAUAAUUUCAAGAAUUUAACAAAUCUACCGACGAUGCUAAUUCUUUAUCAAGUUAGACAAACAAUAUAAUGAUACAAUAAUAAACAUUUCUCUAAACAGUUACCGCUAUAAAAAGUGUUUUCUUUUCUGAUGGUGAUGGCUGGCAGAAACUGUGAAGUUACAUAACAAAAAUUUUGAAUUUUAUUGAAAAUUUGUUUAUUACUGAGCAGUUAGACUUUAGAAAAUAAAAUACCACAUCAAAUUCAUUUUUGCAGUUUACAUUUAAUAAAUUUUGUGCCUCACAAGUAGUUUAAAUUGACCAGUUUUUCCGUCAGGUGCAUUAAUGUUUAUACAGCACAGAUAAAGUCUUAAUUGUGAUUCUGAUCACUAAUUUUUCACUCUACACAUAGAAACAUAUAUAAAAGAUAAAUUCAAUUAAAAAUCUGAAAUGUUUUGACAGAAGUUGUAAUUAAAGCUUCUUAACGCAACAAAAUAAUGCAAACUACCAUUUCUCUUAACAGUUACGGCAAUUAAAAUUUGUGUUUUAUUUACAUAUCUAUUAUUUUCCUCACCAUUUUGAGAUGAUGACUGGGCAGAAACUGUGAAAUAAUUGUUCUUCCUGUUUGCAGUUUGUGUCACACUGACAACAAAAAGAACCGAAAAUGACGUGGCGAUCUGUGUGUGGGUGUCACAGCGUAGCCGUGAUGCUAACGCCUCGACGGUUUCAGUUACUGAAACUGAUCUUCAAAAAGCCAGCAGAUCUGCAGGAUGUCCAGCCAGCCGAAGCCCCGCAGGACGAGGCGUUUUCUACUGUGAAGCCACACCCAAACAGGAAGGAGUCACCGAGAAUAGAGCGGCCCUCCACCCAACCAGCUUCCCUUUCGCUGACACACACUUCCUCUAAGUCUGUUUGUUUGCUUCAUGUAAAGUUCUGCUCAUUUUUCACCCAAAACUGCGAAAAAUAAACAACCUGGACCCAACAAUAGAGGAGAUUUCAACUCCUUGCUGUUAAAUUGUGACAUUUGGUCAUUUUGAUCUUGUUUUUUUCCCCAAAUUAAAUUAUUCUGCUCCCUCCCACACAGCUCUCACCUUUUCUACAGGCGGCCCAUCAGAGCAGAAUAAAUUACCGAGCUUCAAAGAGCCAAUCAGAGGCGCAAGCAGCCGAACGAGAAGAAAGUCAUCUGAUGGAAAAACCCAUCUUCAGGUGAACGUCGCGCCAGGUAAGAAGCUGAGUUUUACUCUCAGGAAAUGUCUCAGGUUAAACUCAGCAUUGAGGUGAACUUUGGCUCCCUCUGCUGCUGCGGAAACGGAGCAGAAAGAGCGCCAUGUGUCCAGAAUAAAAAAUACUGAUUAAAAUCACCACAAAGGUCAUUUUUUAUCUACUUGACAAUAAACUCAGCAUAAUCUAUUUUAACUAAAUAAAUUAUCAGUCAGUGGACAAACCUAAAAGCUUGGAAAAGAUUAUUACUUUGUGUGGAUUCUACUAUUUUACCUUUAAAACACCAAAAUAUUUUCUUCUGAAAAAACAGCCAUCAAAUAUCGAUGUUCCGGAGUUCCUCAGGGCACUAACCUCGGCUCACUGUUACAGUAGGUUCAUUGCUUUGUGGAUGACAGCAACAUAUUUCAGUCUAAUCCUAGUUUUAUUUGCUUGGUAUUGUUCUACAGAAAGGAGGAUUUUGUGAUUUAAAAGUUGUAGUUUUGUGCCGAUUAAUUCUGGUGCCCUCAGUCAGCCCCCUGACCCCACUUUGAACACCCUUACUUAAUAAAUGUGUGACCGAAUUGUUAAUUUCUCAACUUUGUAUCAAGUUUCCAGGAUCAGUUUCAGAUUUGCCUGAAUCCUGUUUGUGACUAGCAGUUCAGUGGAAACAUUCCAAAAAUGAAGGAAGUGAUCUAAUUUAGCAGCUCAUGCUGACACACGCUGGGAUUUCCUCACCUUGGCGAAGCAGGAUGACUUCCAGUUUCAACAUGAAAACAUUUCCCAAUAUCUCCUCCCUCGAUCUUCACCUCAGGUCAGAAACGAAUCCUGUGUGAGGACAUUAGUUCCUCCCGAAAGCAGAACUAGAUCACAGUGCUGUUAAUGUUGUACACAACUCAAAAUGUGCACUUUAAGUUUAAUAAUUAUAGUAACUUUUGAUCAGUGUUUUAAAAUGUAAAGUCAUAAAAUGCAUUUUCAUGAAAUACACAUGCAAUAUUUCCACAAAUAUUGUUUUCUGGUCGAUAGGUUACAAGCUACACGCUUUUUGAAUUAACUUCCUGUAAUAAUCAAAUGAUUCAUUGAAGAAAAAGUUACUUUUGUGGAUAUAAGCAAUUUUUACUGCUGAACUUAAGGCAUUUAUUUAUAUAAAUGUUCUUUGGGGUUCAGCCAAUCAGCGUUAAGGAAAAUAAAUUAGCUUGAUUGGCACAUCAGCUAUUAGCAUGUCAUGUAGCAUUGCGGCUACGUAUUUAGCUUCCCAAGCUGCAUUUUAAAAAAUAUUUCAGGUAUGAAACAUGAAAAAACUGCAAAUAUUUUAAUUUUUCACUUGAAGUUCUGCUAAUAAUUUUGACCUGCUAAAGUACCGACAUGAAGAUUUUUAUUCAUAAACUCGCUUUGCUUUUUGACGUCUAUGGAGCUAAAAUAAAUGUUUAUCUUCCAACACCGACGUCUCACUGCUAUUUUAAUCAGAUAUUCUCUCCGAGGUGUUUAGAAAUUAAUAUUUGGAAUACUUUUUAUUUGAUAAAGUAACAGAUUGCUAAAAAAUAAAAAUUUAAAAAGCCAAAUAAGAUUCCAUAGUCUCCUUUUUCCCUACAUGUGAUGCAGCCGCCAGUGUUUUAUUGCUACAUAAGUGGCUCAUUAAUGCGUGUUUAUUUAUGUAAUCUGAUUCAAACACAAAUAAAGCAGUCGGAGUACGUAGGCAGGCAGAAAUGGACCUUUUUUUUAUUUUUCUCGGGUGAUAAACAACAGUGGAUUGUCCUGACCAGACCAAACCGGAUUAAACCGGUCUAGGCCAGACUAAAAUAAGCGAGACACAGUAGAACCAAAAUCCAACCACAGCUUACCAGACCGAACCCGCCGGAACCGGUCCAAGGCAGCUGAACUCCCAGAACAGCCAACAGAAAAUCGAUACUUUGUUUUACUCUAUGUAACCAUGGCAACAGCCAGCAUGGUCCAGUCGGGUCUGGUCAGAAGUAACCUGGUCCGGUAAUCUCUCCUCUUUCUUGCUUCCUUCCCUCCUUGGAUUGAAGAAGUCAAGGGCACGUCUACUUAAUCAGAAGAACAACGGAGAAGCUGAUUGGUCCACAAACAGUAAAACCCCGCCCAUCAGUUCUCUCCCCCUCCCAUUGGUUGCCUAUAUCAUUUGCAAGGAUUAGGGCGGGCCUUUCUCCCAUUGGUCGCCACAGCCUGAGGCAGAAAAGGCUGUUUCUCGUAUAUUUUCCUCCUAUUGGUCCAUUCAAAUAACUCGCUAACUGUCAGUCACUCAGCAGCGGCCAAUCAGGUUACAGUACCUGCAGAACUUUCUGGAAUUAUGUAGAAAAAAGAAAAAAAAAAA